GAGCUCAUUAUCAUCAUUAGUAGUCAGCACCCGCAAAGUUCCAGUGCAGGCAGGCUUGACUGGAAAGAGACCAAGAGCCUAUCUGAGUUCUCUAGCAACUUAUUUAAGUUCUAGGAAGUCAGGUCUUUCUCCUAAGGAAACCCUGGUCUAAACUCUUAAUUAAAUUGCUUAAAUUUAGAAAAUUAGUAAUUUACCCAGGCCUUUACAGAAUGCACAUAAGAAUGGAUUGACGAGAUGUUGACACAGUUUAUAGAAGUCAAACAUGAACCAGACAUCUGACCUGUAAGUGAUGAUGAAUGGUGGUGAUGCAUGGCUCUUGAUAACACCAUCAGUGGUGAACAACAGUUGGAUCACCCAACAAGGGAGCAAUGAUGGAACACCAUCAGUGGUGAACAACAGUUGGAUCACCCAACAAGGGAGCAAUGAUGGAACAAUAUUGCUGUUAAGAUCAAACUAGGAAAUCACAAAACUUCCAUAAAAGUAUAAUAUUUGCAAUCCGGUUUAUUUAUUCAACAGUUGACUUAUUUAGAUGUUGCAUGCUUAUUCAAUUGAUGCAGGAUUCUUCCAUGCCUGAGAAUUCCUAUGAGCAGAAGCCUAAGAAAGAUGAUGUUGAAGUAAUGGAAGGCAAAGCUGAUCUGUGGACACCCUUAAACUGUCUUGUAGAGGCUGCUAACCGAACCAAGUCCUCUAAGUUAAAUCCCCAAGGGCAGUUGCCUGCCAAAUCAGAGCCACUCAAUGCCCUUGAUAGUAUUUCUGAACUUUAUAUGCCUGAAAGUAACACAGACAUAGAAUUGCCAGAUGCUCUAGAAAGUCAUUUACAUGUCCCUAAGGUCAAAAUCAAGGAGCCUGAGAACAGUACUAGAGGAAAAAAGAACAUUAAUGCGGCAGCAGUCACAGGAUCCAUGAAACGGAAGAGGUUUCAUGCAGGUAAUCGUAAUAGGGGAGCUCCAUCGGGGGAGUCAGGUGAUUCAACUCAAGAUGUACGUGGGGCUAAGCAUAGCAGAAGAAAUAAUCCUAUUUGGUUCUUGUUGGUUGCAGCUGAAAACUGGUGAGACAGCCCUGCGAUUAUAAAGCUUGCAUAGUUAUGUGGUUUAUAUAUGAAAAGCUUAAUUUCUUUUAUCAUGUUGAUUUAUUGUUUUUAUGGUAAAUGUCUCUAGGAAAGGAGAGGCCUCCUUGCCCCAGAUAUCAUCAUGUUACCUGAGAAUAAAGUGAGCUUUCUAUAGUCCUGUUUCUUUCUUUGAAGUGCUGCAACUUCAUAACAAUGCAUUGCCUUAUCUUAGUCAUUUUGUCAUCUGAUGUAUGGGACAAACAGAACCAGUUUGGUAAAUUUUACUGUAAGAAUAUCAUGGGGGUCAAUAGUAAUGAUUUUAAUUCCUAAUAGGCCAUAUCACAAAUUCUGUAAAAGUUUAACCUUUGCUUAUUUUCUUUUUUCCAGCUAAACUUGGUACAUGAUUUGGGUCUACCAUUAUUGGUUAAGAAUAUGCUACACCAGAAAUGUAAACAGAUUAUUACCUAGUCAACUGCACAUCCUAAGUAUAGUGUUCAGCACCUCAGCUACCAUGUUAACCACGAAUAUUGCCUAAUUGUGAUGAUAUCAACGUGUGCAUUUUGAUGAAUUGUGAAGUGAUAGCUUUUAGUGCGACUUUCUUGGGGCUUAGUGGUAAUUACUUUUCUUUCUUCCCCAGGGAUGGUAAAAUGCCUGUAACAUUUAUUCAGAUGUACCUUGUGAUGAAGAAACUUGAACUUACCAGUAAAGCUGAGGUGAGUAUUUUUUUGUUACCUUCAAACAAUAAAAAUAGUAGUUUCUAUGGGCUUGACCGUAAAAUAACACUGAAAUAUAAAGGAGAGAAAAGAAGACAUGGUAGUUUUCCACUUUGGGUGGAGCUAUUAUCUGAAAAAAAAAAAAUAAUGACGUUGUUGUAAAUAAAUUGUAAAUGAAGGCAAAACUGUCUAUUUACGCACCGAAUAAACAGUGCUACUACGAUUUUGUUUUAAUAUAUAUAAAAAGAUGUGUUUUCUUCCCGUGAUGACAAGGAGGAANNNNNNNNNNNNNNNNNNNNAAACUUUCUCAUUGUCACUGAUCCUCUAUUGACUCUUAUUACCGAAUACCCCUCCUAUUGUCCAAUGGACCAUCUAUUUCCCAACAUACCCCGUAUUGAUUAUCUAUACCUAAGGUUAUAUCUUCCGUUUUUUCUUUUUUUCUAACUUUGGAUGAAGAAAGUGAUUUGAAUGAACAUAUAUAAAGGAUUAAUUGAAUUCUUAAAGUAGUUCAAAUGAUAGUGGUUUUGUCAUUGUAGUGAUUUACCUUAUUUCUAAGUCUUUUUUUUUUUUUUUCCUUUCUAAAUAAGAGAGCAAAAUCUAUUAAAACUAGAAACACCAUGGGAAACCAAUGUUUACAGCAUGCAUUACCUUAUUUCUAAGUUGGAGUUUAGUUUUCCAUUUUCUUUUUCAAUUUAAUCUCAAAAUAAUUGAGUAAAUUGAGGAUCUUCGGGCAAGGUUACUGUGUAUUGUUUUUAAAAUAAAAAAUUUCUUAAAUAUAUGUAUUGUUGUUAGUUUGUUACCGUAAACCAUUGUACAAGUAAAAUUGGGAGACAGUACUAUAUUAUUAUUAACUGAUCUCAAUGUAUCUGCAGGUUAUCUUUCCAGUAUUGAGAAUCCUAUCCAUUGAACGCCUGGGCGAGUUGAAAAAGAUAUGGAAUGGCCAACUUUCACCCACCUCCUUCUCUAAAUUAGAAAGACUCACUGUCUCGGGAUGUGACAAACUACUGCAUUUGGUACCGACACAAAUGCAAAAUAGAUUGCAGACAUUGGAGUCCAUACGAGUAGAGGAAUGUUCUUCACUGGAAGGGAUUUUUGAAGUGAGCAGAUUGACCGUCAAUGAAAGGAAUGCUUCAGUUUCUCGGUCAGACAAAUUACCUUCAAAUAUUUCCCAACCUGAUCAAGGAAUGCAAAUAAACGAUAUCAUGGGUUGCAGACAAUCUUGCCAAGGCUUUCAGAAUUUAACUGGACUGGAUAUUACAUCUUGUGGUAGGUUGAGAUACCUGCUCUCUCCUUCGAUUGCUAGAGGUCUUGUCAAGCUCCAAAUACUAGAGAUAAAGGAUUGCCAGAAGAUGGAAGCAAUAGUCACAGCAGAUGAAGGUGAAGAAACUGAGAAUGAAAGCAUGCUCCCUCGGCUAAAUUUUUUGGAUCUUCGGAAUCUACCAAAUCUUGGAAGCUUUUCGCAAGGCAGAUAUACUUUUGAUUGGCCACUAGUGAAAUGGAUCCGUAUUAUCAAGUGCAACAAAAUGAACAAAUUUUGUUCAGGAUCCCUCCGCAUAUCCAGGGCAGUGGACAUAACUGUCCGAUCUUCUGGUAAGAGUGUAGAGCGUGAGCUCAAGGAUAGCAGGAAAACAGGCUGACCAGGUAUGCAAUUUCAAUUGUGAUUUCUGACUGCUGUAGAGUGCAAUCAUAUGUGUUUUGACUUAGCAUCAGAAUAAAUGUGUAAUCUGUGCAAAUAUGUUUCAAUGUGGAUCGAAUUUUGAAGAUUAANNNNNNNNNNNNNNNNNNNNCUAACUUCUAAGUUAAGUUUUAAAGAAAUGUAACUAUAUAUUUUGAAAGAAGCCACCACCAUAUCUCUCUGCCUCCACACGUGUUAGUUGUGUUCGAUAAGGCAACCAUAAGAAUUUUUGUCAAAGAAGGACACUUCUAGCUUAUUACAUUGUGCACCGUUGGGAGCUAAUGACCAUAUAUGUUACUUGAAAUGUAUCAUGUAAUUUAAGCCACUGGACCUAUCAGAAGAAUAUAAACGAAUUGUUGCUGGUUAUUUAAUAUCUUCAUUAAGACUGCUUUCGGAAAAGAAGUAACUGGCAAGGAUUGUAAGAAAAACGCAUGAUACAACAUCCAAGUAUGAUUUUGUGUAAAAGUCGAUCCUUUGUCAACUAUCGUUGUAUUUUUUUUAAUAUUCAAGACUGAGAUAAAGGUGGGCUUUAUUUGAUCUGAUUAUAGUUCUCUUCUUGCUCACAAUCGUAUGUUUUUAUUGUCGUAAUGUAUGCUGAAGCUUACAUGAAAACGUUCUUACACAUGCUUGGGAUGCCAAUUAAUUUAAUCUGCAGGCCGGACCAUAAUUUGCAAGAUAUCAGGGCCAAGAUAUUUCCUCUUAAAAGACGUAAAAUUAAUGCACCCGAAUCACCUUCAGUUUCAUUACCGGUGAAAAGGAAGGAGAGGUCAUUAUCAUCAUUAGUAGUCAGCACCCGCAAAGUUCCAGUGCAGGCAGGCUUGACUGGAAAGAGACCAAGAGCCUAUCUGAGUUCUCUAGCAACUUAUUUAAGUUCUAGGAAGUCAGGUCUUUCUCCUAAGGAAACCCUGGUCUAAACUCUUAAUUAAAUUGCUUAAAUUUAGAAAGAAUGCACAUAAGAAUGGAUUGACGAGAUGUUGACACAGUUUAUAGAAGUCAAACAUGAACCAGACAUCUGACCUGUAAGUGAUGAUGAAUGGUGGUGAUGCAUUGCUCAUGAUAACACCAUCAGUGGUGAACAACAGUUGGAUCACCCAACAAGGGAGCAAUGAUGGAAUAAUAUUGCUGUUAAGAACAAACUAGGAAAUCACAAAACUUCCAUAAAAGUAUAAUAUUUACAAUCCGGUUUAUUUAUUCAACAGUUGACUUAUUUAGAUGUUGCAUGCUUAUUCAAUUGAUGCAGGAUUCUUCCAUGCCUGAGAAUUCCCAUGAGCAGAAGCCUAAGAAAGAUGAUGUUGAAGUAAUGGAAGGCAAAGCUGAUCUGUGGACACCCUUAAACUGUCUUGUAGAGGCUGCUAACCGAACCAAGUCCUCUAAGUUAAAUCCACAAGGGCAGUUGCCUCUCAAUGCCCUUGAUAGUAUUUCUGAACUUUAUAUGCCUGAAAAUAACAGAGACAUAGAAUCGCCAGAUGCUCUAGAAAGUCAUGUACAUGUGUCUAAGGUGAAAAUCAAGGAGCCCGAGAACAGUACUAGAGGAAAAAAGAAC
Molecule: long non-coding RNA, 4979 nt
Filed under: Fragaria vesca (wild strawberry)
Lineage: Eukaryota; Viridiplantae; Streptophyta; Magnoliopsida; Rosales; Rosaceae
Description: long non-coding RNA (FVES_LNC002730)
Source: RNAcentral